UGUGUUGUGUUUUAUGUAAUCAACGGGUAUUAACUUCGCCUUUUACUAAGUUUAAUCCGUGCAUAAAACACAGAAAGACACUUUCACAGUUUUUGUAAGGAUUUCGAUCCU
This 111-nucleotide small nuclear RNA is filed under the name Dictyostelium purpureum. RNAcentral describes it as "U5 spliceosomal RNA". It matches the Rfam family "U5 spliceosomal RNA". From Rfam's summary of the family: U5 RNA is a component of both types of known spliceosome. The precise function of this molecule is unknown, though it is known that the 5' loop is required for splice site selection and p220 binding, and that both the 3' stem-loop and the Sm site are important for Sm protein binding and cap methylation. The record is from Rfam by way of RNAcentral. Lineage: Eukaryota; Evosea; Eumycetozoa; Dictyosteliales; Dictyosteliaceae.